RNAcentral lists this ribosomal RNA (407 nucleotides) under uncultured bacterium. RNAcentral's name for it is "partial 16S ribosomal RNA". It matches the Rfam family "Bacterial small subunit ribosomal RNA", at positions 28 to 526 of the family's 1533-position model. The record is from RNAcentral.
GACGAACGCUGGCGGCGUGCCUAAUACAUGCAAGUAGAACGAAGUUGCGAACGGGAGAGUAACGCGUAGGUAACUGCGUGGUAGCGGGGGAUAACUAUUGGAAACGAUAGCCAAUACCGCAUACUACCAAAUGGACCGGCGGUGUAUUAGCUAGUUGGUGAGGUAACGGGCAAACAAGGCAACGAUUCAUAGCCGGGCUGGAGGGGUGGUCGGCCAAACUUGGCCCGAGGCCAGGCCCAGACUCCGUCGGGAGGCAGGAGGAGGGAAACUUUGGCAAUGGGGGGAACCCUGACUGAGCCAAGCCGGGUUAGUUAAGAAGGUUUUUGGAUCGUAAAGCGCUGUUGUUAAGGGAGCGGUACUUAACCAGAAAGGGACGGCUAACUACGUGCCAGCAGCCGCGGUAAUAC